This 320-nucleotide ribosomal RNA is filed under the name uncultured Prevotella sp. RNAcentral describes it as "partial 16S ribosomal RNA". Lineage: Bacteria; Pseudomonadati; Bacteroidota; Bacteroidia; Bacteroidales; Prevotellaceae. The record is from RNAcentral.
GGAGUUUGGUCCGUGUCUCAGUACCAAUGUGGGGGACCUUCCUCUCAGAACCCCUACUGAUCGUUGCCCCGGUGGGCCGUUACCCCGCCGGCAAGCUAAUCAGACGCAUCCCCAUCCCUUACCGAUGAAUCUUUGCUCCUCGUUAGAUGCCUGCUAAGGAGAACAUAGAGUAUUAAUCCGACUUUCGCCGGGCUAUCCUCUAGUAAGGGGAAGGUUGGAUACGCGUUACUCACCCGUGCGCCGGUCGUCAGCAAGAAAAGCAAGCUUCUCUCCUGUUACCCCUCGACUUGCAUGUGUUAAGCCUGUAGCUAGCGUUCAUC